Molecule: long non-coding RNA, 212 nt
Filed under: Elaeis guineensis (African oil palm)
Lineage: Eukaryota; Viridiplantae; Streptophyta; Magnoliopsida; Arecales; Arecaceae
Description: long non-coding RNA (EGUI_LNC038749)
Source: RNAcentral
CUGAGCUAAACAACUUCUCCGGUGAAGAACACCGGCCAUCAAACCCCUGACUUUUAUUAUUUAUUUUUCAGAAUUUAAGUUGAAAAAUCACAAUUCUUAUAGUAAAAGGGCAGUGAAGUAAUUGAGGAGCAAACCAAGAACAUUCUCGAAUGCAUCUCUAGCUUUUGGAACACACCGAGCGCCAUACUAAAACUGGCCCGAAGUCAAAAACC